AUUGAACGCUGGCGGCAGGCCUAACACAUGCAAGUCGAACGAGUGGCGGACGGGUGAGUAAUGUCUGGGAAACUGCCCGAUGGAGGGGGCUAACUACUGGAAACGGUAGCUAAUACCGCAUACCAUCUGAUGUGCCCAGAUGGGAUUAGCUCGUAGGUGGGGUAAUGGCUCACCUAGGCGACGAUCCCUAGCUGGUCUGAGAGGAUGACCAGCCACACUGGAACGUAGACACGGUCCAGACGCCUACGGGAGGCAGCAGGGGGGAAUAUGGCACAAUGGGCGCAAGCCUGAUGCAGCCAUGCCGCGUGUAUGAAGAAGGCCUUCGGGUUGUAAAGGACUUGCAGCGGGGAGGCGUUACUCGCAGAAGAAGCACCGGCUAACUCCGUGCCAGCAGCCGCGGUAAUUC
Molecule: ribosomal RNA, 406 nt
Filed under: uncultured bacterium
Lineage: Bacteria
Description: partial 16S ribosomal RNA
Rfam family: Bacterial small subunit ribosomal RNA
Source: RNAcentral